UACGUAGGGGGAAAGCGUUGUCGGGAUUUAUUGGGCGUAAAGCGCGCGCAGGCGGUCUCUUAAGUCUGAUGUGAAAGCCCACGGCUCAACCGUGGAAGGUCAUUGGAAACUGGGAGACUUGAGUGUAGGAGAGGAAAGUGGAAUUCCACGUGUAGCGGUGAAAUGCGUAGAGAUGUGGAGGAACACCAGUGGCGAAGGCGACUUUCUGGCCUAUAACUGACGCUGAGGCGAGAAAGCGUGGGGAGCAAACAGG
Molecule: ribosomal RNA, 253 nt
Filed under: uncultured bacterium
Lineage: Bacteria
Description: partial 16S ribosomal RNA
Rfam family: Bacterial small subunit ribosomal RNA
Source: RNAcentral